UACAGAGGUCUCAAGCGUUGUUCGGAUUCAUUGGGCGUAAAGGGUGCGUAGGUGGCGGGGUAAGUCAGGUGUGAAAUCUCAGGGCUCAACCCUGAAACUGCAUUCGAUACUGCGUGGCUAGAGUGCUGGAGAGGAGACUGGAAUUUACGGUGUAGCAGUGAAAUGCGUAGAUAUCGUAAGGAAGACCAGUGGCGAAGGCGAGUCUCUGGACAGCAACUGACGCUGAGGCACGAAGGCCAGGGGAGCAAACGGG
This 253-nucleotide ribosomal RNA is filed under the name uncultured bacterium. RNAcentral describes it as "partial 16S ribosomal RNA". It matches the Rfam family "Bacterial small subunit ribosomal RNA", at positions 524 to 776 of the family's 1533-position model. The record is from RNAcentral.